UAUAUGUAAUUUCCUCAGCUACGCAACUCUAUUACAGAUACCGCUGUGGCGAGGUCCCCGGAAGAUAAGGCUGAGUGUGCGUCGAAGCUUGCAGACCACCAAGACGUGAUGAUUAGCGUUUGAGGACAUCACACCACAAGUAACUUGUGGGGAUCAGAAAUAACUUACUCCCAAGCUACAGCUCGUGGACCCCAGAAGUGCACACCAAUAGCAACAUACAGAACAGCAGUCACAAGCAAAGAAGACAUCUGUCUGGUGUCCCAGUACUGGUGGGGCAGUGCCCCAGCACACUCUAUUGACCAGCCGCCUCUGAUGUCUAGUAAGUAUGGUGUGUUUGCAUUUGUACAUAGUAUAUAAUAUCUAUUUAGUAGACAUAUGGCAGCACGGUCUACAACUGGUUAGCACAUCUGCCUCAUAGUUCUGAGG
Phycodurus eques (leafy seadragon) is the source of this 426-nucleotide long non-coding RNA. RefSeq lists it as uncharacterized. The record is from RefSeq and is a predicted model, not a curated record. NCBI's taxonomy places the organism in Eukaryota, Metazoa, Chordata, Actinopteri, Syngnathiformes, Syngnathidae. The transcript is spliced from 3 exons.